This 2901-nucleotide ribosomal RNA is filed under the name Escherichia coli. RNAcentral describes it as "23S ribosomal RNA". It matches the Rfam family "Bacterial large subunit ribosomal RNA". The record is from RNAcentral. Lineage: Bacteria; Pseudomonadati; Pseudomonadota; Gammaproteobacteria; Enterobacterales; Enterobacteriaceae.
UUAAGCGACUAAGCGUACACGGUGGAUGCCCUGGCAGUCAGAGGCGAUGAAGGACGUGCUAAUCUGCGAUAAGCGUCGGUAAGGUGAUAUGAACCGUUAUAACCGGCGAUUUCCGAAUGGGGAAACCCAGUGUGUUUCGACACACUAUCAUUAACUGAAUCCAUAGGUUAAUGAGGCGAACCGGGGGAACUGAAACAUCUAAGUACCCCGAGGAAAAGAAAUCAACCGAGAUUCCCCCAGUAGCGGCGAGCGAACGGGGAGGAGCCCAGAGCCUGAAUCAGUGUGUGUGUUAGUGGAAGCGUCUGGAAAGGCGCGCGAUACAGGGUGACAGCCCCGUACACAAAAAUGCACAUGCUGUGAGCUCGAUGAGUAGGGCGGGACACGUGGUAUCCUGUCUGAAUAUGGGGGGACCAUCCUCCAAGGCUAAAUACUCCUGACUGACCGAUAGUGAACCAGUACCGUGAGGGAAAGGCGAAAAGAACCCCGGCGAGGGGAGUGAAAAAGAACCUGAAACCGUGUACGUACAAGCAGUGGGAGCCUCUUAAUGGGGUGACUGCGUACCUUUUGUAUAAUGGGUCAGCGACUUAUAUUCUGUAGCAAGGUUAACCGAAUAGGGGAGCCGAAGGGAAACCGAGUCUUAACUGGGCGUUAAGUUGCAGGGUAUAGACCCGAAACCCGGUGAUCUAGCCAUGGGCAGGUUGAAGGUUGGGUAACACUAACUGGAGGACCGAACCGACUAAUGUUGAAAAAUUAGCGGAUGACUUGUGGCUGGGGGUGAAAGGCCAAUCAAACCGGGAGAUAGCUGGUUCUCCCCGAAAGCUAUUUAGGUAGCGCCUCGUGAAUUCAUCUCCGGGGGUAGAGCACUGUUUCGGCAAGGGGGUCAUCCCGACUUACCAACCCGAUGCAAACUGCGAAUACCGGAGAAUGUUAUCACGGGAGACACACGGCGGGUGCUAACGUCCGUCGUGAAGAGGGAAACAACCCAGACCGCCAGCUAAGGUCCCAAAGUCAUGGUUAAGUGGGAAACGAUGUGGGAAGGCCCAGACAGCCAGGAUGUUGGCUUAGAAGCAGCCAUCAUUUAAAGAAAGCGUAAUAGCUCACUGGUCGAGUCGGCCUGCGCGGAAGAUGUAACGGGGCUAAACCAUGCACCGAAGCUGCGGCAGCGACACUAUGUGUUGUUGGGUAGGGGAGCGUUCUGUAAGCCUGUGAAGGUGGCCUGUGAGGGUUGCUGGAGGUAUCAGAAGUGCGAAUGCUGACAUAAGUAACGAUAAAGCGGGUGAAAAGCCCGCUCGCCGGAAGACCAAGGGUUCCUGUCCAACGUUAAUCGGGGCAGGGUGAGUCGACCCCUAAGGCGAGGCCGAAAGGCGUAGUCGAUGGGAAACAGGUUAAUAUUCCUGUACUUGGUGUUACUGCGAAGGGGGGACGGAGAAGGCUAUGUUGGCCGGGCGACGGUUGUCCCGGUUUAAGCGUGUAGGCUGGUUUUCCAGGCAAAUCCGGAAAAUCAAGGCUGAGGCGUGAUGACGAGGCACUACGGUGCUGAAGCAACAAAUGCCCUGCUUCCAGGAAAAGCCUCUAAGCAUCAGGUAACAUCAAAUCGUACCCCAAACCGACACAGGUGGUCAGGUAGAGAAUACCAAGGCGCUUGAGAGAACUCGGGUGAAGGAACUAGGCAAAAUGGUGCCGUAACUUCGGGAGAAGGCACGCUGAUAUGUAGGUGAAGCGACUUGCUCGUGGAGCUGAAAUCAGUCGAAGAUACCAGCUGGCUGCAACUGUUUAUUAAAAACACAGCACUGUGCAAACACGAAAGUGGACGUAUACGGUGUGACGCCUGCCCGGUGCCGGAAGGUUAAUUGAUGGGGUUAGCGGUAACGCGAAGCUCUUGAUCGAAGCCCCGGUAAACGGCGGCCGUAACUAUAACGGUCCUAAGGUAGCGAAAUUCCUUGUCGGGUAAGUUCCGACCUGCACGAAUGGCGUAAUGAUGGCCAGGCUGUCUCCACCCGAGACUCAGUGAAAUUGAACUCGCUGUGAAGAUGCAGUGUACCCGCGGCAAGACGGAAAGACCCCGUGAACCUUUACUAUAGCUUGACACUGAACAUUGAGCCUUGAUGUGUAGGAUAGGUGGGAGGCUUUGAAGUGUGGACGCCAGUCUGCAUGGAGCCGACCUUGAAAUACCACCCUUUAAUGUUUGAUGUUCUAACGUUGGCCCGUAAUCCGGGUUGCGGACAGUGUCUGGUGGGUAGUUUGACUGGGGCGGUCUCCUCCUAAAGAGUAACGGAGGAGCACGAAGGUUGGCUAAUCCUGGUCGGACAUCAGGAGGUUAGUGCAAUGGCAUAAGCCAGCUUGACUGCGAGCGUGACGGCGCGAGCAGGUGCGAAAGCAGGUCAUAGUGAUCCGGUGGUUCUGAAUGGAAGGGCCAUCGCUCAACGGAUAAAAGGUACUCCGGGGAUAACAGGCUGAUACCGCCCAAGAGUUCAUAUCGACGGCGGUGUUUGGCACCUCGAUGUCGGCUCAUCACAUCCUGGGGCUGAAGUAGGUCCCAAGGGUAUGGCUGUUCGCCAUUUAAAGUGGUACGCGAGCUGGGUUUAGAACGUCGUGAGACAGUUCGGUCCCUAUCUGCCGUGGGCGCUGGAGAACUGAGGGGGGCUGCUCCUAGUACGAGAGGACCGGAGUGGACGCAUCACUGGUGUUCGGGUUGUCAUGCCAAUGGCACUGCCCGGUAGCUAAAUGCGGAAGAGAUAAGUGCUGAAAGCAUCUAAGCACGAAACUUGCCCCGAGAUGAGUUCUCCCUGAGACUUAGAGUCUCCUGAAGGAACGUUGAAGACGACGACGUUGAUAGGCCGGGUGUGUAAGCGCAGCGAUGCGUUGAGCUAACCGGUACUAAUGAACCGUGAGGCUUAACCU